This is a long non-coding RNA of Cucurbita maxima (winter squash), 1387 nucleotides long. RefSeq lists it as uncharacterized. The record is from RefSeq and is a predicted model, not a curated record. The transcript has 2 exons. Lineage: Eukaryota; Viridiplantae; Streptophyta; Magnoliopsida; Cucurbitales; Cucurbitaceae.
UACAUUAUGCUGACGUGGAAAAUCCCUCAAGGCCUAUGUGUCCAGAAACUUCCUACGUGGCACAAAUUCAGUGGCUGGCAAGAUGUUAACCAACGUCGUUAAGGAAAUGGUAUGCAUACAUAGCAUUCUGAUCCUCCUCCCCUGCCUUCGGACUUUUAUCUCCGAUGGCCAUUACCGGCUCUACUGACUGGUCACCGCCUCCAGUAAGCUCUAUCAGGUAAUCCCAUCAUCCCAGCCACUAAUCUCGCUCUCUUUUUCUCGAUCUUCGAUCUCUUCAUCUAAAUUCCUCCGGUAGCCUUUCCCCGAUCCCUGAACAAUCCCCCAUUGCCCUAACCGAGAUCGGUUUGGACUCUUCUUCAAGAUUUUAAACUCCCUGAAGGAUUAGAUCUACGAGUAUUACGUGAAAUCGGCAUUGAGGCAUCUAAUCAGCGAAAUUAGGGCGAGUGUUCGAGUCGCUUGAGUUCUUUAGAGAUAUGAGGAAGAAAGGGAUUGAAGAGGAUUAUACCAUUUAGUCGUCUUUGAUAUGCACUUAUGCAAGCAUUUAGGAAGUUCAACUGGCUGAAGAUCUUUACAAUGAGGCAAAAGCCAAGAAGUUUUUGAGAGAUCCUGCAAUGUUUCUAAAGCUCAUAUUGAUGUAUAUUCAACAAGGGUCAUUACAGAAGGCACUUGAGAUUGUGGAAGUGAUGAAGGGCUUUAAAAUUGGAGUGUCUGACUGCAUUUUCUGUGGAAUUGUCAAUGGCUACGCCCGGAGAAGGGGUUAGGGUUUACGAGAAGCUGAUCGGGUGGGAAGUCGAACAAGUGAAAGCCCAAAGAGAACAAUAUUUUAUUACAAAUGGUAGAGCCAGAUACCGAGUGGUGUGGCAAUGAGGACGUUCGGCUCCAAAGAGGCAAAUGGGUGGAGUGUGAGAUUCCACGUUGGCCGAAGAGAAGAACGAAAAAUUUCUUAAGCGGACGUGUUUUAAAAACAAAGGGAAACUUGAAAGGAAAAGCCUAAAAGUGACAAUAUCUGCUAGCGGGGCUUGAGUUAUUACAAUGAGUAUUAAAAGCAGACAACAGGUGGUGUGCCAGAGAGAACGUUGGCUCCCAUGGGAAUGGAUCACGGUAGGCUUAGCUGUUACACCUCAGCGAUCAACGCCUACUGCCAUGUCGGGCUGUACUCGAAAGCAGAAAUGGAGGAGAAGGGGUUUGACAAAUGUGUAGUUGCUUACUCUAGCUUGAUAUCAAUGUAUGGGAAGACAGGGAGGUUAAAAGGUACAAUGAAGCUGAGAGUGUCAAAGAAUAGCUUAAGUGAGCCAAAACGAAGCCAUGAAAGACACCAUUAUAUGAAUAACAUUACAUUAAUCCAAAUCAUAACCAAAGCAAAUGAAACAAAGCCCUUACACAACAC